GACGUAGGAGGCGAGCGUUGUCCGGAUUCAUUGGGCGUAAAGAGCGCGCAGGCGGUUUGGUAAGUCGGAUGUGAAAUCCCGGAGCUCAACUCCGGACCUGCAUCCGAUACUGCCCGACUAGAGGUAGGUAGGGGAGAUCGGAAUUCCUGGUGUAGCGGUGAAAUGCGCAGAUAUCAGGAGGAACACCGGUGGCGAAGGCGGAUCUCUGGGCCUUACCUGACGCUGAGGCGCGAAAGCUAGGGGAGCAAACAGG
This 253-nucleotide ribosomal RNA is filed under the name uncultured bacterium. RNAcentral describes it as "partial 16S ribosomal RNA". It matches the Rfam family "Bacterial small subunit ribosomal RNA", at positions 524 to 776 of the family's 1533-position model. The record is from RNAcentral.